Molecule: long non-coding RNA, 1392 nt
Filed under: Salmo salar (Atlantic salmon)
Lineage: Eukaryota; Metazoa; Chordata; Actinopteri; Salmoniformes; Salmonidae
Description: lncRNA (ENSSSAG00000117292.1)
Source: RNAcentral
GUGACACACAGACAAAUGCAUGAGUCAAUAAUGACCAGAAUGAUCCAGAAUAUCUCUAUCAUUUGGUAAUGAAAGUGAUUAUCUUAGAUACAAUCUUACAGCGUGAUUCAUCUGUCUGUCUGUGUUGUCCACCUCUAGGUCUUUGCCUUGUGAUUCAUCUGUCUGUCUGUGUUGUCCACCCCUAGGUCUUUGCCUUGUGAUUCAUCUGUCUGUCUGUGUUGUCCACCCCUAGGUCUUUGCCUUGUGAUUCAUCUGUCUGUCUGUGUUGUCCACCCCUAGGUCUUUGCCUUGUGAUUCAUCUGUCUGUCUGUGUUGUCCACCUCUAGGUCUCUUUGCCUUGUGAUUCAUCUGUCUGUCUGUGUUGUCCACCCCUAGGUCUUUGCCUUGUGAUUCAUCUGUCUGUCUGUGUUGUCCACCCCUAGGUCUUUGCCUUGUGAUUCAUCUGUCUGUCUGUGUUGUCCACCCCUAGGUCUUUGCCUUCAACACAGAGGAGAUGGAGAGGGAAGGGUAAGUGUAGCUGUAUAGUUCUAAUAGAGAGGGAAGGGUAAGUGUAGCUGUAUAGAUGGAGAGGGAAGGGUAAGUGUAGCUGUAUAGAUGGAGAGGGAAGGGUAAGUGUAGCUGUAUAGAUGGAGAGGGAAGGGUAAGUGUAGCUGUAUAGAUGGAGAGGGAAGGGUAAGUGUAGCUGUAUAGAUGGAAGGGAAGGGUAAGUGUAGCUGUAUAGAUGGAGAGGGAAGGGUAAGUGUAGCUGUAUAGAUGGAGAGGGAAGGGUAAGUGUAGCUGUAUAGAUGGAGAGGGAAGGGUAAGUGUAGCUGUAUAGAUGGGGAGGGAAGGGUAAGUGUAGCUGUAUAGAUGGAGAGGGAAGGGUAAGUGUAGCUGUAUAGAUGGAGAGGGAAGGGUAAGUGUAGCUGUAUAGAUGGAGAGGGAAGGGUAAGUGUAGCUGUAUAGAUGGGAAGGGUAAGUGUAGCUGUAUAGAUGGAGAGGGAAGGGUAAGUGUAGCUGUAUAGAUGGAGAGGGAAGGGUAAGUGUAGCUGUAUAGAUGGAGAGGGAAGGUGUAGCUGUAUAGAUGGGAAGGGUAAGUGUAGCUGUAUAGAUGGGGAGGGAAGGUGUAGCUGUAUAGAUGGAGAGGGAAGGGUAAGUGUAGCUGUAUAGAUGGAGAGGGAAGGGUAAGUGUAGCUGUAUAGAUGGGGAGGGAAGGGUAAGUGUAGCUGUAUAGAUGGAGAGGGAAGGGUAAGUGUAGCUGUAUAGAUGGAGAGGGAAGGGUAAGUGUAGCUGUUUAGAUGGAGAGGGAAGGGUAAGUGUAGCUGUAUAGAUGGAGAGGGAAGGGUAAGUGUAGCUGUAUAGAUGGAGAGGGAAGGGUAAGUGUAGCUGUAUAGAUGGAGAGGGAAGGGUAAG